GUCUGUAUGUAUGAUUUGUACAGUCUGGCCUGCCCACUGAAUUUUAAAGGGCCGCGGUAUCUAAACUGUGCUAAGGUAGCAUAAUCAAUAGUCCUUUAAUUGAGGUCUAGAAUGAAUGGUCGGACAAGAAGUAAGCUGUCUUGGUUUUAAAUAUUGAAUUUUACUUUUGAGUGAAAAGGCUCAAAUUAGCUAGUGGGACGAUAAGACCCUAUAAAGCUUGUACAUAAAUUAAUGUAAAUUAGAAUUUAUAGUUUAUUAGUGUUUACUUGACUUUUGUUUCGUUGGGGCGACGGGAAUAUAAAUAUUAACUGUUCAUAAAGAAAAAUAAUUAUAUUUAGAAAAAUAGAUCCUUAAUUUGGGAUUGUAAGAUUAGAGUUACUUUAGGGAUAACAGCGUAAUUUCUUUUGAGAGUUCAUAUCGACGAAGACAGUUGCGACCUCGAUGUUGAAUUAAGGUAUCUUUAGGGUGCAGCAGCCUUAAGAGUAGGUCUGUUCGACCUUUAAAUCCUUACAUGAUUUGAGUUCAAAUCGGCGUG
Molecule: ribosomal RNA, 535 nt
Filed under: Syncaris pacifica
Lineage: Eukaryota; Metazoa; Arthropoda; Malacostraca; Decapoda; Atyidae
Description: partial 16S ribosomal RNA
Rfam family: Bacterial large subunit ribosomal RNA
Source: RNAcentral